UACAGAGGGGGCAAGCGUUGUUCGGAAUUACUGGGCGUAAAGGGCGCGUAGGCGGCCCGCUAAGUCGGACGUGAAAUCUCCGGGCUCAACCCGGGGAACUGCGUCCGAUACUGGAUGGCUUGAAUCCGGGAGAGGGAUGUGGAAUUCCAGGUGUAGCGGUGAAAUGCGUAGAUAUCUGGAGGAACACCGGUGGCGAAGGCGGCAUCCUGGACCGGUAUUGACGCUGAGGCGCGAAAGCCAGGGGAGCAAACGGG
Molecule: ribosomal RNA, 254 nt
Filed under: uncultured bacterium
Lineage: Bacteria
Description: partial 16S ribosomal RNA
Rfam family: Bacterial small subunit ribosomal RNA
Source: RNAcentral